Molecule: small RNA, 2640 nt
Filed under: Pan troglodytes (chimpanzee)
Lineage: Eukaryota; Metazoa; Chordata; Mammalia; Primates; Hominidae
Description: processed transcript
Source: RNAcentral
GCGCUGCCGUUAUCUUCAAGACCCUCCCACCUUACCGAGCUCCAGGACCGGAGAUGAGGAGCUGAGCACAACAUGCCAACACUCGAGGGGCCCACGACAGUUGCUCAAGAGCCAUUUCGGGAAUAGGCUGCUAGGCCCUGGAGACAGUGAGGACUUGAACUGCAGCACUCCUGUCAGACCCCUGGAUGUGGUUCCCCCCGCGUCCCACAGCUAAUGACUAAGCUGGGAACCAAAAGAUGGAAUCUAGAUUCUCCUAAGCCAAGGUUUUUCCCCCAACUAGUGUAUAUCCCAGAAAGCUUGGAAGAGCCAAGUACUGGAGAGAUGGUGACAGCAGGUUGUCAGGUGAUCAGAGGAAGUUUAGGUAGAGGGGAAGGGUGCCCAGGCUUUGACCUAACAUUGUCUCUGUUAUUUCUGUACAGGUAGUUUGAGCUCCCUAAAAGAGGAAGGUGGACUCUACAGGGACAAACAGUUGGAUGCUGCAAUAGCAUGGCAGGGGAAACUCACCACACACAAAGAGGAACUCUAUCCCAAGAACCCUUAUCUCCAAGACUUUCUGAGUGCAGAGGGAGUGCUGAGUAGUGAUGGUGUUUGGAGGGUCAAAUCCAUUCCCAAUGGCAAAGGUUCCUCACCACUCACCACCGCUACAACUCCAAAACCACUUAUCCCUACAGAGGCCAGCAUCAGGGUCUGGUCAGACUUCCUCAGAGUCCAUCUCCAUCCCCGGAGCAUCUGUAUGAUUCAGAAGUACAACCACGAUGGGGAAGCAGGUCGGCUGGAGGCUUUUGGCCAAGGGGAAAGUGUCCUAAAGGAACCCAAGUACCAGGAAGAGCUGGAGGACAGGCUGCACUUCUACGUGGAGGAAUGUGACUACUUGCAGGGCUUCCAGAUCCUGUGUGACCUGCACGAUGGCUUCUCUGGGGUAGGCGCGAAGGCGGCAGAGCUGCUACAAGAUGAAUAUUCAGGGCGGGGAAUAAUAACUUGGGGCCUGCUACCUGGUCCCUACCAUCGUGGGGAGGCCCAGAGAAACAUCUAUCGUCUAUUAAACACAGCUUUUGGUCUCGUGCACCUGACUGCUCACAGCUCUCUUGUCUGCCCCUUGUCCUUGGGUGGGAGCCUGGGCCUGCGACCCGAGCCACCUGUCAACUUCCCUUACCUGCAUUAUGAUGCCACUCUGCCCUUCCACUGCAGUGCCAUCCUGGCUACAGCCCUGGACACAGUCACUGUUCCUUAUCGCCUGUGUUCCUCUCCAGUUUCCAUGGUUCAUCUGGCUGACAUGCUGAGCUUCUGUGGGAAAAAGGUAUGAAGCUUUGUGAGGGGUUGGGUCAGUGCUGAGAAAAUGUCCUAUAACGUGUUCUCUUCCAUCUGUUUAGGUGGUGACAGCAGGAGCAAUCAUCCCUUUCCCCUUGGCUCCAGGCCAGUCCCUUCCUGAUUCCCUGAUGCAGUUUGGAGGAGCCACCCCAUGGACCCCACUGUCUGCAUGUGGGGAGCCUUCUGGAACACGUUGCUUUGCCCAGUCAGUGGUGCUGAGGGGUAUAGACAGAGCAUGCCACACAAGUCAGCUCACCCCAGGGACACCUCCACCCUCUGCCCUUCAUGCAUGUACCACUGGGGAAGAAAUCUUGGCUCAGUAUUUACAACAGCAGCAGCCUGGAGUCAUGAGUUCUUCCCAUCUGCUGCUGACUCCCUGCAGGGUGGCUCCUCCUUACCCCCACCUCUUCUCAAGCUGCAGUCCACCGGGUAUGGUUCUGGAUGGUUCCCCCAAGGGAGCAGUGGAGAGCAUCCCAGUGUUUGGGGCACUGUGUUCCUCUUCGUCCCUGCACCAGACCCUGGAAGCCUUGGCCAGAGACCUCACCAAACUCGACUUGCGGCGCUGGGCCAGCUUCAUGGAUGCUGGAGUGGAGCACGAUGACGUAGCAGAGCUGCUGCAGGAGCUACAAAGCCUGGCCCAGUGCUACCAGGAUGGUGACAGCCUCGUGGACUAAAGUUCCCAGUGUGGGAGAAAGGAGCUAGUUUGCAAUAAAAACAGCUGGAUGCAGGAGCCCAGUGUCUUCAUGCAGAGGAGCUCAAUGUCGCGGGACUAGCUACACCAACAUAUGCACUUUUUACAUUUAGAAACACUGUGAUUAGACCACAGAACAAUAAAUAUGUGCCAUCAGACCAAAAAAAAGUAGAGAAAGGAGCUGAACUCCACUCUCGAUGCUAUUUACAGAGGACAUCUGUAAAGUCUUCAUAAAAGACCUUGAAUGAUGCCUAGGAUGGCAGAGCCCCUGGGUCCUACUCCAUCCUCCAGCCUUUGUCCUUGUCCUGGCCUCCUGCUCUCCAGAUCUGUAAACUGGGCUCAAGGACUGUACAGGCAGAGUACAACUACCCGCCUCCCCGGUGCCAGGGCGCCUGUUGGGUUUGGUCCUGUGUAGAUGAUUCCCAGAGUCUCAUUCAUCCAGCUCCUCUUCAGACAGAAGGUCCCCAUGGUCAGACAGCUGGUCUGCAUUGCUGGUACUGGUUGCAUCAUCCUCAUCCUCAGAGCUGGCUUCACAGGCAGUGUGGAAGAGCUGCAUGAGUUCUCGAAAACGGUGGGAAACCUAAGAAAGGAGGAGGGCUGUAUUCACUGAUCCUUACUAACAUGUUAACAUUUAUGAAGCA